CCAGUCACGUAUAUGGGAUAUGAGGGAAAGGUCGCCCCUGUGCUAAUAUUCCUACAAGAUAUCUGCAGCGCCCCUGGACUUCGUACUGCAUGAAGAGGGGAGUUUCCAAGAAUAAAAAUAAAGCUGCUCAAAACUAGGUUUUAUAUGUAUUGUUUAUACUCUAACGUACAUUCUGAUCAAUUGAGAUGUGACUUUUGAUGGCGAUGUUCGCCAAUGUUUUUGUCUCUUUGUUCUUGUGAUAUUGUGUGAAGGCUCAAUAUGUUGAACAUGCUGAUCUGAAUAAAUCCUGAGUUCUUUAUUUGACGGUCAAAAUGAGUACAAAGGAUAAAGAGAAAUAUUCCGACAAACCAUCGCAGAAUAUCACUAGGCACAUGUAUUCGCUGGUCGCGAAACAAUUUUGAUAAUUCAUAUAAUAGUUUCUUAUGACCAGAAUAUUUCAUUGAUUUUUUUUGUGUACGCUUCUGAAAUAACUUUCCUUGCAUUAAAUCCUUGGAUAAAACAUAUUUUAAACCGUUAGAUUCUAAGACUUUUCUAAAUUCUCAUUUUAAGUUUUAAAAGUUUUAGUUUGUGACAAUAAAACAAUAUGCUGGGUCCACACAACCAACCAACAUAAGGCUGAAAACAAAUCCCAGAGAGAUUAUAUUAAAUUAUUCUUAGA
Molecule: long non-coding RNA, 658 nt
Organism: Eurytemora carolleeae
Lineage: Eukaryota; Metazoa; Arthropoda; Copepoda; Calanoida; Temoridae
Exons: 2
Source: RefSeq, a predicted model, not a curated record